CUCUAUCUUCUUUGCUAGUGAGGACUGGAAACCUGGUGUGAUCCGAGGGUCUUGAGUGUGUCUGACCCAAGCCAAC
This is a non-coding RNA of Erinaceus europaeus (western European hedgehog), 76 nucleotides long. The record is from Rfam. NCBI's taxonomy places the organism in Eukaryota, Metazoa, Chordata, Mammalia, Eulipotyphla, Erinaceidae.